This is a long non-coding RNA of Bactrocera neohumeralis, 1421 nucleotides long. RefSeq lists it as uncharacterized. The transcript is spliced from 2 exons. NCBI's taxonomy places the organism in Eukaryota, Metazoa, Arthropoda, Insecta, Diptera, Tephritidae. The record is from RefSeq and is a predicted model, not a curated record.
ACCAUAUUUUCGAGCCCUGAUUCAUGUCAAACACGCAUAUUAGGGCAUACCAUAAAACUCUAUGUAACGAAAUUCAACAGGCCAAGGACGUGAUACUUUUUAAGUAAUAAAACGUUUUCGUUAUACAGAGGGAAGGCAUAUUACGACCAAUAUUUAAGAAAGAAGUACUUUACUUUAAUUUAUUUCAAAAACGUCAUACAUACGAUUUUAAAAAGUCAAAAUAAGUUAUUUUUGCUUGACGUUUUUUAGUUUGCUAACAAACUUCCCGCCAGAGUCUCUGAAGAAGAUUCACAGUGAGCUCAGUAGGCGUACUGCUACGCAGCCUCUUUUAUGGAAGUGAGCAUUCACUUCGACAGCAGUAGCGAUAGCAGUUACCGGUAAUACCAACGCUGAGUUCGCUAAGUGCACGGUCAAAGCUGGUCACGGAAAGUCUGUCCUGACUAGAAAUAAAUCAAGCUCAUUUGAGUGCCUGGGGAUAUAGGAAUCGCUGGUAACUGCAUAGCGGAUGAGCUAGCAAGGGGGAUAUUAUAUCGCUGCCUUGGAUAUUAAUCUGCAUCAAAUUUCGUAAAGAUACUUUGUCAAAUUUUUCCAAGAUCCUUGGACAAUAAUUCGUGAUGACAAUUUAGUGCAGAUAAUUUGUGAAAUAAAAAAAGUUUUCCUUACAAAGACUUUAUUUUGAUCGAUUAGUUUGUGUGGCAGCUGUAAUGGUAUAGAAAAGGACGUGUGAAAGUUUUCAGAUCGAUAUCUCAAAAGCUGAGGGACUAGUUUGCGUUUAAACAAACAGAUAGACAGACGCAUAGAGCGAAAUCAACCUUGGUCACCAUCAUGAGCUGAAUGAUGUGUUGUGUGAAAAGCAGAGACAGUCGCUUCGCAAAGCUUAAGCAAAGCAAAUCAUUUUCGGUAUUGUUUACGUUAUAACGAGUUUAUCGUUAAAUGGAGUUUCGUUAUGUGGAGUUUUCGCUGUAUGUACAUAUGUACAUAUGUAUAUGCGAGACAUAUGGCUUUUUCGUACAUCUGUAACUGUUGUAACACGAGGCCUACCUCCUCUGUGAACUGUGUGGAUGUUCUCAGUCCGAAUAAUACGGCAAAUCGUUGAUUUAUGUAUGGAAUAUUUUAACGAUAUUUCUUUUUGCGUUUCAUUUCAUUCCAUUUCUAAAAUCUUCUUUUAUUUUUGCUUUAAAGUCCGAACUGUAUUUAUUGACUCCGAUUUUCAACCGAAAAUAUAAUAUUACAAAGAUCACAAAACACGGAAAAAUUUGUUAAUUCUAGAAACGCGAAAGACUGAAUGCAAACUCUUAGUAAAAUAAAAACGCAUGAAGUUCCACUAAUUAUGUGGAAUGCGAUUACCGUUAUAACUUGCUUUUUGUUAAGUAGCAAAAUAAAAUAAAAAUACAGCAAAUAUCAGUUGCGAAUGUUUUGAA